Molecule: small RNA, 65 nt
Filed under: Sinorhizobium meliloti 2011
Lineage: Bacteria; Pseudomonadati; Pseudomonadota; Alphaproteobacteria; Hyphomicrobiales; Rhizobiaceae
Description: putative ncRNA
Source: RNAcentral
UUUCCCCUGCGGGAGUGAGCUUCUUCCCGCCAACUAGCCCGGUGUCCAGACACCGGGCAUUUUCU